RNAcentral lists this ribosomal RNA (578 nucleotides) under uncultured bacterium. Its description in RNAcentral is "bacterial SSU rRNA". It matches the Rfam family "Bacterial small subunit ribosomal RNA", at positions 62 to 649 of the family's 1533-position model. The record is from RNAcentral.
UCGAGCGGACUAUAAAAAGGGGUAACUCUUUUUAUAGUUAGCGGCUGAACGGGUGAGUAACACGUGGGUAACCUGCCCUCAGGUGGGGGAUAACUCGGGGAAACCUGAGCUAAUACCCCAUAAGACUACGAGCUGAAAUGCUUGUAGUAAAAGGAGUAAUUCGCCUGAGGAUGGGCCCGCGGCCUAUCAGGUAGUUGGUAGGGUAAUGGCCUACCAAGCCUAUGACGGGUAGCCGAGCUGAGAGGCUGGCCGGCCACACUGGGACUGAGACACGGCCCAGACUCCUACGGGAGGCAGCAGUGGGGAAUAUUGGGCAAUGGGCGAAAGCCUGACCCAGCGACGCCGCGUGGGGGAAGAAGGCCUUCGGGUUGUAAACCCCUUUUGCAGGGGACGACACAGGACGGUACCCUGCGAAUAAGCCACGGCUAACUCUGUGCCACCAGCCGCGGUAAGACAGAGGUGGCAAGCGUUGCUCGGAUUCACUGGGCUUAAAGGGCGCGUAGGUGGUCUUGUAAGUCAAGGGUGGAAUUUCACAGCUUAACUGUGGAACUGCCUUUGAUACUGCAAGACUUGAGUCA